CGGCAUGCAGGUUGUCCCCCAGUGCGGGCACCUUAGAGCAUCUCCAGUAGUACCCCUAAACCCCCAAAUCUGUAAAAAUAUAACUGCUUUUUUACAGUUUGGACAGAAAAAAGUGCGUAGACUAGACCCCUUUAACUACUUUAAGAGUUUGAGGAUUUGAGGGUUCUACUAGACAUGCUCUAACCUGCAUCCUGGCACUCCUUGUUGUUCACCUGCAGUUCAGAGGAAGUGCACCCUAACCGCAACAGAGGAAUUCACUUGUCGUGGUGAGGGCAUUGUUCCGUCGAGAUUCAGUUUGCGGGCGUUCUGCCGCCAGGGGUUAGUUCAGUCAGUGCGCCAGCGAUGGUGCUCGAGCGCCGCGUGCAGCUCGGUUGCGACCCCCAUGCAGUCCGGCUGAGUCGCUGGUGGUGCAGUUUGUAGAUGGUGGACACACAGACAGCGACUGACUUGUUUGCAUUAUUCAGAUUUUGUUUUGUACUAGUUCAGUACAGCAGAAAUCCUCCGCAUGUGUAGUUUUUUUCUGAGGGAAAGUAGUGCACUUCCUUCUCGAGACUACCUACACCUCUUCGGGGCGACCGUGCAGUUUGGUGCAUUUUUAUUUGCAGUGCAUUUCGCUUUGGGCGUCAG
This 627-nucleotide long non-coding RNA is filed under the name Triticum aestivum (bread wheat). Its description in RNAcentral is "long non-coding RNA (TAES_LNC018495)". The record is from RNAcentral. Lineage: Eukaryota; Viridiplantae; Streptophyta; Magnoliopsida; Poales; Poaceae.